This 65-nucleotide transfer RNA is filed under the name Hasemania nana. Its description in RNAcentral is "tRNA-Gln". It matches the Rfam family "tRNA". From Rfam's summary of the family: Transfer RNA (tRNA) molecules are approximately 80 nucleotides in length. Lineage: Eukaryota; Metazoa; Chordata; Actinopteri; Characiformes; Acestrorhamphidae. The record is from RNAcentral.
UAGGAAAUGGUGUAAUGGGCGCACUUAGAAGUUCUAAAAUAAAGGUUCAAGUCCUUUUUUCCUAG